CAGGACGAACGCUGGCGGCGUGCUUAACACAUGCAAGUCGAACGAGAAUCUGUGGAAAGAGGAUUCGUCCAAUUGAAGCAGAGGACAGUGGCGGACGGGUGAGUAACGCGUGAGGAACCUGCCUUUCAGAGGGGACAACAGUUGGAAACGACUGCUAAUACCGCAUAACAUAUAGAUGUCGCAUGGCAUUUAUAUCAAAGAUUUAUCGCUGAAAGAUGGCCUCGCGUCUGAUUAGCUAGUUGGUGAGGUAACGGCCCACCAAGGCGACGAUCAGUAGCCGGACUGAGAGGUUGAACGGCCACAUUGGGACUGAGAUACGGCCCAGACUCCUACGGGAGGCAGCAGUGGGGAAUAUUGGGCAAUGGGCGCAAGCCUGACCCAGCAACGCCGCGUGAAGGAAGAAGGCUUUCGGGUUGUAAACUUCUUUUGUCAGGGACGAGUAGAAGACGGUACCUGACGAAUAAGCCACGGCUAACUACGUG
RNAcentral lists this ribosomal RNA (482 nucleotides) under uncultured bacterium. Its description in RNAcentral is "bacterial SSU rRNA". It matches the Rfam family "Bacterial small subunit ribosomal RNA", at positions 25 to 507 of the family's 1533-position model. The record is from RNAcentral.